CCCUUCUCUCCCGUCCGUAGGACUGUGUGGUGAUCCCUUCCUCGCAAAUGUUAAUUAUUCCUAUUUUGUUUUUUUAACAGAAAUCAUAGCCCCUUGAUGAGCUUUGGAGCCAGCUUUGUCAGUUUUCUGAAUGCCAUGAUGACAUUUGAGGAGGAAAAAAUGCAGUUGGCGUGUGAUGACUUAAGAACGACAGAGAAGCUGUGCGAGAGCGAGGAGGCGGGCGUGAUCGAAACCAUCAAGAAUAAAAUUAAGAAGAACGCGGACGCCCGGAAGUCGGCGCCCUCGAUGGUGGACCGGCUGCAGCGGCAGAUCAUCAUCGCGGACUGCCAGGUGUACCUGGCCGUGCUCUCCUUCGUCAAGCAGGAGCUCUCAGCGUACAUAAAGGGCGGCUGGAUCCUCCGGAAAGCCUGGAAGAUCUACAACAAGUGCUACCUGGACAUCAACGCGCUGCAGGAGCUGCACCAGAGGAGGCCGCCGGGGGAGCCCUCGCCCGCCGACGCCGCCAACGACAACCACGCGGCGGCGGACGGGGUGUCCGAGGAGACCCUGAGCCGGCUGCGAGGUGCCGUGAGCUUUGGAUACGGCCUGUUCCACCUUUGCAUCUCCAUGGUGCCCCCCAACCUGCUCAAAAUCAUCAACCUGCUGGGGUUCCCCGGAGACCGCCGCCAGGGGCUGUCUUCACUGAUGUAUGCGAGCGAAACAGCAGAGCAGGAGGAGGUCCGGGCCCAGCAUCUCUCCCCCCGCAGGCUGGCGCUCCUGUGGUUCCACACCGUGGUCCGCCCCUUCUUCGCCCUGGACGGCAGCGACAGCCGGGCGGGCCUGGAGGAGGCCAAGGAGAUCCUGCGCAGGAAGGAGGCUGCCUACCCCAACUCCUCCCUCUUCAUGUUCUUCAAGGGGCGCAUCCAGCGACUCGAGUGCCAGAUCAACAGUGCCUUGGCCUCCUUCCACACGGCCCUGGAGCUCGCCGCGGACCAGCGGGAGAUCCAGCACGUCUGUCUGUACGAGAUCGCUGGUGCAGCCGAUCGAGCUGCCCUGACCCUGCUCUCUCCCAGGCUGGUGCAGCAUGAUCGAGCUGAACUUCCAGGACGCGUUUGGCUCCUUCGAGAGGCUGAAGAACGAGUCCCGGUGGUCACAGUGCUACUACGCCUACCUGACGGCCGUUUGCCAGGGGGCCGCCGGCGACGUGGACGGCGCGCAGGCCAUCUUCAAGGAGGUGCAGAAGCUCUUCAAGAGGAAGAACAACCAGAUCGAGCAGUUCUCCGUGAAGAAGGCGGAGCGGUUCCGGAAGCAGGCGCCCACCCGCGCGCUGUGCGUGCUGGCCUCCGUGGAAGUGCUGUACCUCUGGAAGGCCCUCCCCAACUGCUCCUUCCCCAGCCUGCAGAGGAUGAGUCAAGCCUGCCACGAGGUGGACGACGCCGCGGCCGUGGGGCUGAAGCACCUGCUGCUGGGGGCCAUCCACAAGUGCCUGGGGAACACGGAGGACGCCGCCCAGUGCCGUGUGUCUUUCUUUCAGUUCUUCCAGCGCGCUGCGAAGGAUGAGCUGUGCCGUCAGAGUAACCUGUACGUCCAGCCGUACGCCUGCUAUGAGCUGGGCUGUCUCCUGUUAGAGAAGCCAGAGACGGUAGCAAGAGGCAGAGCCCUCCUCCUCCAGGCAAAGGAGGAUUUCUCUGGCUACGACUUUGAGAACAGACUGCACGUGCGCAUCCACGCGGCGCUGGCCUCCCUGCGGGAGCUGGUCCCGCAGUGACGGACGGGGCUCCCGCGUCCCCCCUCCGGGUUCUGCCCCUGGGGCCGGAGGCAGAGGCUGGAAGCAGAGGACGCGGCUCCUGGAGGACCGGCCUUCCCCCGCCGCCGCCGCCGCCGCCGCCUGCGCAGGGACAGACGCUUCCCCGGUUAGGCCGCCGUAGUGGAGAUCUAGCUCCAAAACACAGCAAUGAGAUCGUAGUCUUGUAACCAACGCCUGGGCAGGGGUUAAGUGGCCUUGUUCAGACACUUUAGUUUUGUGAUUUAUUAUUUUUAAAAUAAAAACCAAGCUCCACACUCAGCCUGCGAUCUUGUGGACACGCCGACCGUAAGCUCACGUCUGCCCGGCCACACCGAGAGGUGCCCGUGCGGCUGGUGACGGCGUCGCUGCGGCAGUUACAGUUACGUUGUGUUUUGGGGAAAAGGAAGUGCUUCCGGUGUUUUUCUUUGCCCUCGAGCCGCCCCUAUGAGGAACCUGGCACAGAUAUUCCGAUCCCCGCAGCCCAGACCACGAAACUCAGGCACAGAAGGCGAAUUGAUUUACCCCAAUUAAUUCUUCCUGUUACCAGUGGACCCGUCUCCGGAGCAGGAAGCGAAUAUUCCUUUAUUGUAAAAAGUAUAUGUUAAGAACCCAGGGUUCCUUGUUUUCCUUAUUAAAAAAAAACACUUGCUCUUCA
This is an RNA transcript of Myotis lucifugus (little brown bat), 2420 nucleotides long. It is a transcript of the gene named tetratricopeptide repeat domain 39C, with no coding region annotated. Lineage: Eukaryota; Metazoa; Chordata; Mammalia; Chiroptera; Vespertilionidae. The record is from RefSeq and is a predicted model, not a curated record. The transcript has 13 exons.